UGUGAGUUCCAGUGUGAGUCGAGGACC
This 27-nucleotide non-coding RNA is filed under the name Homo sapiens (human). Lineage: Eukaryota; Metazoa; Chordata; Mammalia; Primates; Hominidae. The record is from RNAcentral.